This 395-nucleotide long non-coding RNA is filed under the name Coffea arabica (coffee). RNAcentral's name for it is "long non-coding RNA (CARA_LNC002517)". The record is from RNAcentral. Lineage: Eukaryota; Viridiplantae; Streptophyta; Magnoliopsida; Gentianales; Rubiaceae.
GGGCUAAAUUGUAAAAGCUAGGGUGCCAUAAUAGAAAUAAUAAAAUUGGUGUAUUACAUAUGGGGGUUAAAUAGCAAAAGUUAGAGUGCCAUAGUAGAAUUAAUGAAAUUGGUGAAUUACAUAUGGGGCUAAAUUACAAAAGUUAGGGAGUAAUAAUAGAAUUAAAGAAAUCGGUGUACUACAUAUGGGGCUAAAUUGUAAAAGUUAAGGUAUCAUAAUGGAAUUAAUGGAAUUUUUUACAACAUUUGGGGCUAAAUCGCAAAAGUUAGGGUGGCACAGUAGAAUUAAUGAAAGUGACUUAGAAAUAAGUACUUUAAACAGUGACGAUUAAUUCUUGUCACUAAAUCCGAAUCGGUAGAGUGACAGUGACGAUAUUAGAAGUUGUCACUAUAUAG